AGCUGGAGCUGGGGGGCUGGGACCAGCGCGGUGCAUUCUGAGCUCCUCCACUGUGAAAUGUGCAUUGAAAAUACGCCCGGAUCGAUCAGAAGCCAGAGGUCAGGCCCCAGGAACAUACCUGCUAUACGGAAGGCUCCAUGCCAGAAACCAGGAAGGCGGCCACGAGCAAGCCCAGGACCGGACCCUGCCCCGGGCAGGGGCAAUGGAAUGUCCGACUGGCCAUCCAGCCAGCUCCUUCUCAGCCUUGGAAAUUCCCAGGACCUCUGCACUUCAUGAGCGUUUAUCGGGCCCUUCUUACACGCCAGGCACGGUGUCACGGCUGAGAAGUACAAAGACGCAAAAGGUACAGGUCGUGGUCUCACGGUUUGUGAGUUCGAGCCCCGCGUCAGC
This is a long non-coding RNA of Lynx canadensis (Canada lynx), 390 nucleotides long. RefSeq lists it as uncharacterized. The record is from RefSeq and is a predicted model, not a curated record. NCBI's taxonomy places the organism in Eukaryota, Metazoa, Chordata, Mammalia, Carnivora, Felidae. The transcript has 3 exons.